This is a non-coding RNA of Erinaceus europaeus (western European hedgehog), 615 nucleotides long. The record is from the annotation of a RefSeq genome assembly. Lineage: Eukaryota; Metazoa; Chordata; Mammalia; Eulipotyphla; Erinaceidae.
CACAGGAGACCCCCUCCUCUCUGCCCUGCCCCUGCCAUGAGCAUCAGCCUCCUCUGCUGUGUGGCCACCUGUCUCCUGCAGGCAGGCCUGGUGGAAACCAGUGUUAUGCAGAGCCCCAAAUUCCAGAUCCUGAAGACAGGACAGGAAACAGAAUUGGAAUGUGGCCAGAAAAUGAAUCACAACUACAUGUACUGGUACCGGCAAGACCCUGGACAGGGGCUGAGACUGAUCCACUUCUCAGUUGGUGCUGGUGUCACUGACAAAGGAGAGGUCCCUGAGGGCUACAGGGUCUCCAGGCCAGAUACAGAGAGCUUCCCCCUCACACUGGAGUCAGCUGCACCCUCCCAGACAUCUGUGUACUUCUGUGCCAGCAGUUUAUCCACAGCGCUGCCCCACCACCUCCCCUCUGCACAAGAAGUCAGGGAGGCCCUGCACCUGGGGCUCAUGAGUCCAGGGCUGCUCAGCCAGGCAGGGAGCUGCCCCCAGAGCCUCAGUGAAGAUGCCUCCAGCUUUGCUGUCCAGUGUGAUGCAGCUCACAUGUUCUCUCUGUUCCAGCAUCACUGCUUCACAUCAGUCUGUUUCCUCUGUGUUGUGCUCACUGCUACAUGUACUUGA